Molecule: ribosomal RNA, 301 nt
Filed under: uncultured bacterium
Lineage: Bacteria
Description: partial 16S ribosomal RNA
Rfam family: Bacterial small subunit ribosomal RNA
Source: RNAcentral
CAGCCGCCACGGGAAUACGAGGGGGGCAAGCGUUGUUCGGAAUUAUUGGGCGUAAAGGGUGCGUAGGCGGCUUGACAAGUCUUGUGUGAAAUCUAUGGGCUCAACCCAUAGUCUGCACGAGAAACUGUCGGGCUUGAGAAUGGGAGAGGUGAGUGGAAUUUCCGAUGUAGAGGUGAAAUUCGUAGAUAUUGGGAAGAACACCAGUGGCGAAGGCGGCUCACUGGACCGACACUGACGCUGAGGCGCGAAAGCGUGGGGAGCAAACAGGAUUAGAUACCCCCGUAGUCCCUGUCUCUUAUAC